This is a long non-coding RNA of Solanum pennellii, 586 nucleotides long. RefSeq lists it as uncharacterized. The record is from RefSeq and is a predicted model, not a curated record. Lineage: Eukaryota; Viridiplantae; Streptophyta; Magnoliopsida; Solanales; Solanaceae. The transcript is spliced from 3 exons.
CAACUCAUUGUUAUCUCCACAUUAAGAAUUAGAAAUUUGAUGUAUGGUUUGAGAUGGCAUCAAGCAAAAGCCGUGAAAUGAAAGAGCAACAAAUUUGAUACACAAGCAAAAUCAAGCUUGAGCUAACGUUUUUGACAGGUUACAAGAAAGAAAAAGACAAAUUAGCUGAAGAAAUAAGAAGUUUACUACCCUUCGCAUAUUCAUACGAGUCGAGAAGAAGGAAAUUUGGAUAUACAGAACAAACUUUCUUAGGUUUGUAUUGUACAAGUGAAGCAAAACCAAAUGAACCUCUAUCCCAUGCUAUCAUAGCAAGCAACGAUGACGAGUACAUACUCGGAUGGAUAAUGCCCUUAAGAAGAGAGCAACAAUGAUAUGUCUUUACAAUUAUGUUUAAAAUUUGUUGUUAUGAUUUAACUGUUUGCAUGGGAGAGAUGAAAUAUAAAGAGGAGGAUGAGGAUUGGUUUAUAUUGUUUAUAGAAAGACAAUAAAGCCCUCAUAUUGAUAUGUUGUUAAUAUGUUGAUGAGGGUAUGUAUAGACAAUGAAAAGAAGAAACAACACUAAGCUAUGUCAUUUUUUUUAAAAGGA